AUUCUCUUGUCUUUGUUCUUUCUCGUUCAAUUUCAAAUGAUUAGUGAUUGUUACAACGUAGACUACAUUAAAAAAUUACACUAGAAAUAUAUAUAUAAUAAAAAUAUAUAUAAUAUAAAUAAUAUAUAUAUAUAAUAAAAAUUACAUUACAUUAAAAAAUUAUCUGUAAUUAUAGAACGAAAUUUAAUAGAUAAGUAAUUAUUUCCUUGUAAAGGAAGAUAGAAACUGAUCUAAAGAAGCUGACGCAUCUGACCUACAAGAACCUGACGCAGGCACACGAGUGUUUGAAAAUUACUACUAAGAAAACAGAAGCACGUUUCUUCGUUGCAUCGGUACAAAUACGUCUACUGCAUGCAGCAAUAAUAUGUAAAAGUUUGCAAUCAGGUAGCGAUCACACAAUGGCCCCCUAUAAUCUAGCGCUCAUUAAAAAUCCCGUCUUAAGAACACUGCGGUUAACGCAUUCGAUGAAGAAGAGAAUUACUCACUGUUCUU
This is a long non-coding RNA of Bombus pascuorum, 492 nucleotides long. RefSeq lists it as uncharacterized. NCBI's taxonomy places the organism in Eukaryota, Metazoa, Arthropoda, Insecta, Hymenoptera, Apidae. The record is from RefSeq and is a predicted model, not a curated record. The transcript has 3 exons.